Molecule: long non-coding RNA, 794 nt
Filed under: Heterocephalus glaber (naked mole-rat)
Lineage: Eukaryota; Metazoa; Chordata; Mammalia; Rodentia; Bathyergidae
Description: lncRNA (ENSHGLG00000008228.2)
Source: RNAcentral
CCUCCGUGUGCCACGCGAACAUGGUCUUCCACAUGCCAAAGUACAGGUAGGGUGUGUUGACUCCCUCGAUGACAACUCCAGAUUCCUGCUCCAACAGAUCCAGAAUGGUUUCCAGGCGCCCAAGGUUCUACUGCUUUGUGUUUUCAUCAAACAAGGAGCCGCUGAUGUCAGCACCAUAAAUGGGGCAACCAUAGAGGCGAUUCUUCCAGUAUUUUCUCUCCAAAUCUUUAAAACUCUGGUGUGGAGGAGUCUGGUACUUUUCACUGUUGGCCAGGUGGCGGUACUCGCCCACCGUCAUGGCUUUCUUCCGUUUAUGGUAUUGAGUAAACACACCUGUCCCCCCAGGGACCACCUGCUGCAGAGGAGUGGCUAUCAUGAGGUCACUGAUGUUGUCAUAGGACUCUCUGGCUCUCCAUCCCUUGGGAGGAAUGACUGUGGCUAAGCCAGCUCUGUGUGCACCCUGGGAUUCCAUGGAAGCAAUGUAUUUGUUGAAAUCUGCAAACUCCUCCGUGGUUGGCCUGAAGGUCAUGACUGUGGACCCUGCAUUCAGGGAACCAGAAUGCUCAGGCUUCAUCCCUGCAGUGUAAGCACCACCCAGAUCAACGUUUUUGGGAGUCUUGCUCUGUGGUUAGGAUGGCCAUGAACUCACAGAAUCCCUCCUGCCUCAACCUCUGAAGUGCUGGGAUUACAGAAGUGUGAAGUGUGCCACUAUGCCAGACUUGUGGAAUUGAUUCUUUGUAACAAUUUAGUGGUAGUAAUUUUUUCAAAAGUAUAAAUAUUCCAACCUGGUCCAA